UUUGAAUAUUUUAUUUUGAGCAAUCAAACGAUGCAGGAGAAGCGAGAAGAAACUGAGUUGCGUUUCUUUGCGUUUCUUUUCUUUUUCUCUUUUUGCUCGACUCCUCCAGACGAUAUGCUGUCACUCUCACGGUCAUGAAACCCCAAUUCCCCCUCACAGGCUUCUAACGUCUCCGAGUACCAUUCCCUUCCAUCUAGAACCCCACGCUAGGAUAUCCUCUUCUUUUGUGUGAGGGGGUAAGCAGCGGUUCUUGAACAUCUUGCGAGUAAUUUCCCAUACGCUUAUUUCAGGAGUGUGUGUGAAUAAUUACUUCAUUCGGCGCAAUUUUUAUUUUUAUCUUUGUUUUAUUUUUUUUUUUCCAAUUUUGGUGGCAUCCCGUGUUUUCAUCUCAUCUUCAUGAUUCUCCUUCUCUCCUCUGGGCGGGUAUAUACUAUUUACUAGUAUAUAUAGACAUGUGCUGUACACACAUGUCAUGCGGCCGUAUGUCCCCGUCACCCAUUGACCGCAAAACAAAUGGUUAAAAAAAGACAAAAAGACAAAAAUACAAAAAUAAAAGGGAAAAAAAAUCAUAAUUGAAAAGGCCAGAAAAGAUACUAUGGCAAUAUUGUAAGUCUUAAGUAAGGGCUGGCUGAUUGCGCAACAUGUGGAAGACAUCGUGCUCACGUUUCAGGGAAUGAUCGGGAGGAUAAUGUGUGUAUCCUAGUACUGUACUGUACUGUACUGUACAUACAGCCACAGCACUGCUACAUGUCCGAGCUUGGCGUCCGUCGAUGACCAACAUCUUACAUAACAGCAUUCCCACGUGACCGUGCCGCUCCAACCUUGGAACCUUGGAACUUCCAGUUCUGGCUUUUUUCGCUUUUCCCCGUUGCAAUCAAUUCAAACACGACAAACAUCGCAAACCGACAUCCAGCAAGCAAUAUCUAGAUCCAUCUAUACAAGUAUCAAUCUAUCAGACUUCUUCAGUGGAGGCACUGUCUCCUUUUUCCUUUUUCCUUCUUCUUUCUUUUUCAAAAUCUUUGCUUUUGAACUUCUGGACGCACAUUGCGUCGAGAGCGUGGGGAGCUUUUGUUGAAAUUUGGAAGCUCAAUUUGAAUCAACCGGCCGCGUGGAGGAGGGGGUUAGACAAAGAGGUAGGAACGGCGCGUUGUAUAUAUUUAAUAUACUUCUAGCGCUUCUCGCGACUUGCGAUGCGCCUUGGGGAUCCUUGAGAGCUUGUUCGUGAGGUUUGCGGAGCGGAUUUUUGCUUCAGAACGUCGCCAAUUGGGAGGUUGCGCAGCAGUGUUUGGGUAUCAGCUGCUUCAUCGCACUCUUAUCUAUAUCUACCGCACACCUCUUCGCUAGUUACUACUAGCUAGUACCUUGCCGGGCCCCACGCUUCUACUUCAAUCGCGCUUACAAGAACGACAAAAGCUUAGUUCAUGUCCAACAAUCCAGAAGAUAUGACCUUGACCUCCCCCAAGCCCUCAACCCCUGACUUCCCAACACACAACUCCCCGCACCACCACCACCACCACCACCGCCACCACCUCUCAAACAGUGCACAGCAGCAACAGCAACAGCAGCAGCAUAACCUGGCUGUCGCCGCUAGCGCUGCCGCCGCCAGCUACGCUGCAGAUAACCACCUAGCAGGUCUUGUGGAAGCCGCCACGGCCGCGGCGGGACAGGAUGUCAACUGGGCGCAGAACGACGAGGGAGAUGCCAGCGUGAUGGGCCAUGGGCGCGCGCUGCACGGCCAUCUCGAGGGAUAUCCUUCGCCCAAUCCUGUGUCUGGCGCCUCGGGUGAGGCGGGUGGUGGUGGGGACGGCCUGAAUUUGGGUGAUGGGUUUGUGGGAGAUCCGACGACGGGGGGUGGGCAGGGGCAAUAUGGUGGGAUGCCUUCGGGCGCGGGGUCGGGGUCGGUAGAUGGGAGUAGUGGUGUGCCGACAGUCACUGCUACUACGGCGGCGGCGGCGGCGGCGAGGAGACAGCUACGCCAUGUGAAUGUAGCUAGGGGCCCGACGAACCUGCCGAGGAAGAGGAAGCGGGCAGCGACUAUUGCCAAUGUAGACCCGGCGAUGACGGAUGACGUCCCGCCGGAAGGCCAGUAUGACGAUGGCACUGGCAACGUGGACGAGGUUCUAGCCGCGGGUGGAAACCAGAACGGAAGCGCACACGCCCUGAGUAUCCGCGAGCUACCACCACAGCAAGCGUUAUCGGACGCACGCGCGGCAGGGGUCCACUCCGCCGCCGCGCUCUUCCGCCAACCCUCGGCCACCAGCAAGAAAUACACGCGCCCGCCGAUGUCGAAGAUGUUCUCGUCACUGGGCCUGUCGCCUGAGAACUUCUUGUACUUGCAGGCUGCGGCCAAGGCGUAUAUGCUUGACGAGGCGCAUCCGGAGAGACGCGAUUGCGUGGGCCAGAGGGGGAAGGGGGAUACAGAAAUGGUGAAGUUGCGGUUGUGGAAUUGUGUGAGGGAUU
Molecule: small RNA, 2460 nt
Filed under: Histoplasma ohiense
Lineage: Eukaryota; Fungi; Ascomycota; Eurotiomycetes; Onygenales; Ajellomycetaceae
Description: hypothetical lncRNA
Source: RNAcentral